Long non-coding RNA from Buteo japonicus, 1712 nucleotides. NCBI's taxonomy places the organism in Eukaryota, Metazoa, Chordata, Aves, Accipitriformes, Accipitridae. The record is from Ensembl.
GGGCCGCUGACACCGGCACGGGUUGGUUCCCUGGUUCGGCUGCAGCGCCUGUCGCCGGGGUUGGUUGGGGUAGCUGCAGUGCUCGUCACGAGGGUUGGAAUAGCUGCGGUGCCUGUCGCUCUGUUUUCCCUCCCUUCCCCCUGAGGGUGCUGCAUCAUAUCGAGCAGUGGUUGGUAAAUACUGGCCAGGGCCCAGCACAGUGCGGUAAGUUGUGCCUCUUCGGAACAGGCACCGCAUUUUCCUUUCGAAUACUCUAUCACUUGAUCAGGGUCCCGUACUUGUUUCGGAGUGAAGUUCCAAGCCACUGGAGGUGAGAAGUUCUCUAGAUACCUGCCCAUAUUCUCUCCCACAUGCCAUGCCACCCAUGAACAUCCAGCCUUGGGGCAGAUCUCUGGGUGGUAUUCGUAAAAAAACUUUUUUUGUAGCCCUCAACAAGACCUGAAACAUAUUUGGGAGACACAGCGCUAACAGCAUGCUGGCUCGAACAUCCCAAGGAUAUUCAAAAUUCUCAAAAGCUGUUGUAAGUAGCGGGAAGGAGGAAGGGGAGGUGGCAGAGUGGGACAAAGUAUCCCCCCGUCUUCCCCAUGGAUUGGGUGUGAUUACUAAUAAAUUCCGAGAGAAGGCAUCUGAGGUACAGGCAUGACAACGCCGCUGCACACAAAUACCAGCUUAACCCCAUGACCAGUGAUGUAAUUAUAUCAUAAGUUGACAUUACCCAAUACAGCAAAAUGAUAAUCCUGAUCCCUCUCCCAGAGGUGAUAAACAUAAUCGCAGGGAAUACAUAGAGGGUAUAAGAAGUUACACAACGCCACCAUGUGAACAAAUGAACCAACACUGUGACCAGUGACUAUUUAACAUAAGGAAUGUGUAUAACGAAUUUGUUUUAACACGCUCUGGCCAGAUCUGUCGUUGUCUCAACCCUUCGUGCCCCACUUUGGGCACCAAAAAGGAUUGUCAUGGUUUCAGCCCAGCCGGCAGCAAAGCACCACGAGGCCGCUCGCUCACUACUCCCGCCCCUGGUGGGAUGGGGAGGAGAAUCCGAAGAAAAAGGUUUUACGGCAGGAGCAGUUUAUUGGUUUACUCUCAGGCAAGAAGGCUGUAUGAAAUACAGAUUUUCAUCCGCCGUUGCGAACGAUAAACCUCGCCUAACUACAUACUGUGCCUCAAGGCGUGUGAUGCUCCGGUCAGGACUCGACAAAAUUUCUCUAAGCUCAACAAGAAACGUUUCGCAGCCUCUUUUGAGGUUCCUCGCUUAAUACGAAUGACAAGAAGCCGUACGCAGGUGGGGAAACCCUUGUUCUGUCCCGCUGCAGUGAGAAUCGGCAUGGAAAAGGAGUCGGCGAGCGUGGCCGGCGAGGCUUUGCAUCCCCGUAGCCGCGUGAGCCGUUAAACCCGGUAUCAGGGGAAACUCAGCUUAAACCCGGUAUCGGGGGAAACUGCUCCUAAAACCAGACCUUUGAAUUGCUGCACCGCACACUGUUACGCCGAGAUUAUUUUUUUAAAAAAGAAAAAGCAGCGUGCAUGACCCCGUCGCUCUAAAACGUGUUUAUCUAAAAAAAAUAAACCGAAGGAUUAUUCCUUUUUUUUUCUUUUUUUUUUGGGGGAGGAAAAAGAUUUUUUGGACCGUUAAUAAAUGAUUUGAAUUUUUUGGUUUUGAGACAUUAUUGCAUCUUUGUCUCAGCGUUUUUUAAAAUGCCUAUUUGUACCGUACC